RNAcentral lists this ribosomal RNA (253 nucleotides) under uncultured bacterium. RNAcentral's name for it is "partial 16S ribosomal RNA". It matches the Rfam family "Bacterial small subunit ribosomal RNA", at positions 524 to 776 of the family's 1533-position model. The record is from RNAcentral.
UACGUAGGGGGCAAGCGUUGUCCGGAAUCAUUGGGCGUAAAGCGCUCGUAGGUGGAUCGGUAAGUCUGCAAAGAAAGACCCGGGCUCAACUCGGGGAACGGUGUGGAUACUACCGAUCUUGAGGCAAUCAGAGGAUGAUGGAGUUCCCGGUGUAGCGGUGAAAUGCGUAGAUAUCGGGAGGAACACCAGUGGCGAAGGCGGCGCUCUGGCUCGCAACUGACGCUCAGGAGCGAAAGCGUGGGGAGCGAACAGG